UACGUAGGGUGCAAGCGUUGUCCGGAAUUAUUGGGCGUAAAGAGCUCGUAGGCGGUUUGUUGCGUCGGCUGUGAAAUCCCGAGGCUCAACCUCGGGUCUGCAGUCGAUACGAGCAAACUAGAGUGUUGCAGGGGAGACUGGAAUUCCUGGUGUAGCGGUGAAAUGCGCAGAUAUCAGGAGGAACACCGGUGGCGAAGGCGGGUCUCUGGGCAACAACUGACGCUGGAGGAGCGAAAAGCGUGGGGAGCGAACAGG
RNAcentral lists this ribosomal RNA (255 nucleotides) under uncultured bacterium. Its description in RNAcentral is "partial 16S ribosomal RNA". It matches the Rfam family "Bacterial small subunit ribosomal RNA", at positions 524 to 776 of the family's 1533-position model. The record is from RNAcentral.